UACGGGGGGAGCAAGCGUUGUUCGGAUUUACUGGGCGUAAAGGGCGCGUAGGCGGUCGUGACAAGUCACUUGUGAAAUCUCCGGGCUUAACUCGGAACGGUCAAGUGAUACUGUCGGACUAGAGUACAGAAGGGGCAACUGGAAUUCUCGGUGUAGCGGUGAAAUGCGUAGAUAUCGGGAGGAACACCCGUAGCGAAGGCGGCCGACUGGACCACACCUGACGCUGAGGCGCGAAGGCCAGGGGAGCGAACGGG
RNAcentral lists this ribosomal RNA (254 nucleotides) under uncultured bacterium. RNAcentral's name for it is "partial 16S ribosomal RNA". It matches the Rfam family "Bacterial small subunit ribosomal RNA", at positions 524 to 776 of the family's 1533-position model. The record is from RNAcentral.